CGCGCAGGCGGCCAGGUCAGUCGAAUGUGAAAGCCCCCGGCUCAACUGGGGAAGGUCGUUCGAUACUGCCUGGCUCGAAGAUAGGAGAGGGAAGUGGAAUUUCAGGUGUAGUGGUGAAAUGCGUAGAUAUCUGAAGGAACACCAGUGGCGAAGGCGACUUUCUGGCCUAUUCUUGACGCUGAGGCGCGAAAAGCUAGGGGAGCGAACG
Molecule: ribosomal RNA, 208 nt
Filed under: uncultured bacterium
Lineage: Bacteria
Description: partial 16S ribosomal RNA
Rfam family: Bacterial small subunit ribosomal RNA
Source: RNAcentral